UGGGGAAUAUUGCACAAUGGGCGCAAGCCUGAUGCAGCAACGCCGCGUGAGGGAUGACGGCCUUCGGGUUGUAAACCUCUUUUAGCAGGGAAGAAGCGAAAGUGACGGUACCUGCAGAAAAAGCACCGGCUAACUACGUGCCAGCAGCCGCGGUAAUACGUAGGGUGCAAGCGUUGUCCGGAAUUAUUGGGCGUAAAGAGCUCGUAGGCGGUCUGUCGCGUCUGCUGUGAAAUCCCGAGGCUCAACCUCGGGCCUGCAGUGGGUACGGGCAGACUAGAGUGCGGUAGGGGAGAAUGGAACUCCUGGUGUAGCGGUGGAAUGCGCAGAUAUCAGGAAGAACACCGAUGGCGAAGGCAGUUCUCUGGGCCGUAACUGACGCUGAGGAGCGAAAGCGUGGGGAGCGAACAGGAUUAGAUACCCUGGUAGUCCACGCCGUAAACGUUGGGCGCUAGAUGUGGGGACCAUUCCACGGUUUCCGUGUCGCAGCUAACGCAUUAAGCGCCCCGCCUGGGGAGUACGGCCGCAAGGCUAAAACUUAAAUGAAUUGACGGGGUCAUAGCUGUUUCCU
This 568-nucleotide ribosomal RNA is filed under the name uncultured bacterium. RNAcentral's name for it is "partial 16S ribosomal RNA". It matches the Rfam family "Bacterial small subunit ribosomal RNA", at positions 355 to 1375 of the family's 1533-position model. The record is from RNAcentral.